This 536-nucleotide ribosomal RNA is filed under the name Exiguobacterium sp. B112. RNAcentral describes it as "bacterial SSU rRNA". It matches the Rfam family "Bacterial small subunit ribosomal RNA", at positions 46 to 541 of the family's 1533-position model. The record is from RNAcentral. Lineage: Bacteria; Bacillati; Bacillota; Bacilli; Caryophanales.
AAGUAAUACAUGCAAGUCGAGCGCAGGAAGCUCACGGAACUCUUCGGAGGGAAGUGAAGGGAAUGAGCGGCGGACGGGUGAGUAACACGUAAGGAACCUGCCCCAAGGAUUGGGAUAACUCCGAGAAAUCGGAGCUAAUACCGAAUAGUUCUUCAGACCGCAUGGUCUGAUGAUGAAAGGCGCUUCGGCGUCACCUUGGGAUGGCCUUGCGGUGCAUUAGCUAGUUGGUGGGGUAACUGGCUCACCAAGGCGACGAUGCAUAGCCGACCUGAGAGGGUGAUCGGCCACACUGGGACUGAGACACGGCCCAGACUCCUACGGGAGGCAGCAGUAGGGAAUCUUCCACAAUGGACGAAAGUCUGAUGGAGCAACGCCGCGUGAGUGAUGAAGGUUUUCGGAUCGUAAAACUCUGUUGUAAGGGAAGAACAAGUCCGAGAGGUAAUGCUCGUACCUUGACGGUACCUUGCGAGAAAGCCACGGCUUUACUACCUGCCAGCAGCCGCGGGAAUACGUAGGUGGCAAGCGUGCCGAUUUUG